UCGGUAAAAGUCCAACGUUCAAGUUGUAUGUAAGAUGUCGCAGAAAAAUCCGGUGUAAAAAUUUGUUUUUCAAAAUUUGGUUUGUAACCCACAUUAGUAAACACGAGCGCCUCUACUCCCAAGCAGUUUUCAAAAUCAUUGCAAGCAGUGCAGGCACCACAAUAUACGUUGCAUUCACGCAACAACAUCUGUGUACCCGAGCAAUAUGUCGCAUCAUCCACACGUUCUUACCGAGGCAGCUGCCCUCCUCCUAAUAAACGGCUUGGAUGCCACCGGCAGUGCCACGCCUCCCAGCGCCCAGCCGUCUCCCGCAGCGGCAGCGGAAGUCAACUGCUUGCCGGAAAUCGUUGCAUCGGCUCAUCGGAUGGUCAGUGGCACGCCCACCGCCUCCAUGGCCGCCCUGGAAAUAUCAUCAGCUCGACAGAGGAUGCUGCCUCUGAUAACGCGAAGUCCCUUGGAGGAGAGCCUCCAUUCGGCGAACGAGAAUGGCAACUCGUGCCGCAUCUGCCGCUGGAAUCGCAGCGACAUGGAGAUCAUCAAGUGUCCGUGCAACUGCAAGGGCAGCGUGGGCUACAUCCACCUGAAGUGCCUGAAGCGCUGGAUUAUGCACAGAAGGGAUAAUCGCUGUGAGGUCUGCAAUGCAGUCUUUGACAUCUCGGAGGAGCGGGUCAGUCUGAAGCAGAUGAUCCGAACCUUCUGCUGCGGCCGUUGUUGCGGCCUGAUUGUGAAGCACCUGCUAUUUAGCGCCUCGCUGAUGCCACUAGCCCAUAUCAUAUUGCAGCAGGUGCUGCAGUGCAUGGAUACUAUGAAUCAGGGCAGCAACGAGCAGCUUACCGUCCAGGAGGUGUUUGUCGCCUCCUGCGCCCUGCUGACCUCCAGUGCCCUGUUCUUCCACUUCUUUGAGUUCGUCACCACACGGUUCCUGCUCAUCCGGAACAUUCUGCGCCACUGGUGGAUGUUUGGCAGCACCUCCGACUUUGCCCUGGUGGAGAUCGAGGAUGAGUCCAUCGAUUUUUUUGAUGACUAGGCUGAUGAUAAGGGUUGAAGUAACAAGUAUGAUGAUUGGAAGGCAGUGCCGUCCUAGUAUCAGAAUUUUUAAAAUACGCUGCCGGAAACCGCCAAAAUAUUUACAUCAGUUUUAGUAUUAUAUUGCACAUGGUAUAUUUCCCGAAUCGCGGGUGCUCAGCCUACACACUAUGCAUAAUUACAAAAUCAAAUUUUAUUUGCAA
This is an RNA transcript of Drosophila santomea, 1229 nucleotides long. RefSeq lists it as uncharacterized. The transcript has 4 exons. The record is from RefSeq and is a predicted model, not a curated record. Lineage: Eukaryota; Metazoa; Arthropoda; Insecta; Diptera; Drosophilidae.